UAGUAACGGCGAGUGAAGCGGGAAGAGCUCAAGCUUAAAAUCUCUGCGCAAGUUUUGCGUGGCGAAUUGUAGUCUAUAGACGCGGCAUCAGUGCGGCCGCUCGGGGUAAGUUCCUUGGAAGAGGACAGCAAUGAGGGUGAUACUCCCGUUUGUACCCGAGUGUGUUGCACGUACGAUGCGUGUUCUUUGAGUCGCGUUGUUUGGGAAUGCAGCGCAAAGUAGGUGGUAAAUUCCAUCUAAAGCUAAAUAUUGGUGCGAGACCGAUAGCGAACAAGUACCGUGAGGGAAAGAUGAAAAGAACUUUGAAAAGAGAGUUAAAGAGUACCUGAAACUGCUGAAAGGGAACCGGGUCGUUGCCAGUGUCUAUAAUCCGCUGCAUAUUUCAUUGCUGUGCGAGUCCGUGUCGCGUGUUGGAAUCAGUUUUUUGCUGGACCGCGCGUGUCUGUGGGUUUGCUCGGCGGUGCCCUGUGCGGCGGUGGGACGUUUCAGAGUCAUUUCGUGUUGCUGCGGGAAAUGGCUGUCGAGGAGGUAGGUCAGGAGCUCUGCUUUUGGCUUUUUAUAUCUUGGCGUGCUAGUUGUCGUGGUUGGGACUGAGGUGCCUUACAACGUGUCUUUGGAGUGCGUGUGCGUCUCUGUGUGCGUCCGGAUUGGAUAGCUUGCUAUGCAGUUUUGGAUCGUGUGUGGAUUGAUGCGCUUGCUAACUUUUGACCGUUC
RNAcentral lists this ribosomal RNA (714 nucleotides) under Phytopythium montanum. RNAcentral's name for it is "eukaryotic LSU rRNA". It matches the Rfam family "Eukaryotic large subunit ribosomal RNA", at positions 81 to 618 of the family's 3401-position model. Lineage: Eukaryota; Oomycota; Peronosporomycetes; Pythiales; Pythiaceae. The record is from RNAcentral.